RNAcentral lists this signal recognition particle RNA (97 nucleotides) under Reinekea forsetii. RNAcentral's name for it is "Bacterial small signal recognition particle RNA". It matches the Rfam family "Bacterial small signal recognition particle RNA". From Rfam's summary of the family: The signal recognition particle (SRP) is a universally conserved ribonucleoprotein involved in the co-translational targeting of proteins to membranes. Archaeal SRP consists of a 7S RNA and homologues of the eukaryotic SRP19 and SRP54 proteins. Lineage: Bacteria; Pseudomonadati; Pseudomonadota; Gammaproteobacteria; Oceanospirillales; Saccharospirillaceae. The record is from Rfam by way of RNAcentral. RNAcentral also lists the same sequence under 2 other names.
UGCCGGUCCCCUCGCAACGAGAGGACGUUAACUCCGCCAGGCCCGGAAGGGAGCAACGGUAGCGUCUGAUUCGUGUGCCGGGGUGUGGCUGGUGGGA